Molecule: transfer RNA, 73 nt
Filed under: Vicugna pacos (alpaca)
Lineage: Eukaryota; Metazoa; Chordata; Mammalia; Artiodactyla; Camelidae
Description: tRNA-Ala (AGC) (tRNA-Ala-AGC-251-1)
Rfam family: tRNA
About the family: Transfer RNA (tRNA) molecules are approximately 80 nucleotides in length. Their secondary structure includes four short double-helical elements and three loops (D, anti-codon, and T loops). Further hydrogen bonds mediate the characteristic L-shaped molecular structure. tRNAs have two regions of fundamental functional importance: the anti-codon, which is responsible for specific mRNA codon recognition, and the 3' end, to which the tRNAs corresponding amino acid is attached (by aminoacyl-tRNA synthetases). tRNAs cope with the degeneracy of the genetic code in two manners: having more than one tRNA (with a specific anti-codon) for a particular amino acid; and 'wobble' base-pairing, i.e. permitting non-standard base-pairing at the 3rd anti-codon position.
Source: RNAcentral
GGAGGGUAUAGCUCAGUGGUAGAGUGUGUGCUUAGCAUGCACGAGGUCCUGGGUUCAAUCCCCAGUAUCUCCA